CUUUUCUAUAAGCGUAGGAAGUACCAGACUUAGCCUCAGAGCUCAGCUGCAAAACUACAAGAAGGCUGAAGAAGGAACAUACAAAAGAACAGCAGCGAAAAUGAGCAUGAGAAUGAAUGCAGUUUUUAUCUUUGCAUGCCUCAUCAUGGUUCUUACAGCACUUGCUUCUGUUGAGGCAUCAGGUGGUAGAAAUGCCACAGAGAAAACCGCAAAUGGUGCUAUAGCUGUGAUCUGCCCAGGAACUGCUGCGUUCCAUAUGAUAACCUGCAUUGUUCCAUUGCUGCUUCUACGACUAUUCUAAUUCAAAAAUCAUGAAACAGCAGUGUUACCUUCUGAAAGUUAUGGGUGACUACUGCCCAUCAUAUUAUGCAACGUUAACAUUUCUGCAGCUUGAAGAAAUAAAGGCAGCAAACAUCUGUUCUAGUGCCUCAGCUAAAAGUCCUAGCCUUAACCUGUCUAGAUAAGAAAAGACAUGACAUUAUCCAAACAAAUGGAAUCCCACAAAGUGCUGUCAUUUAUUUGUGCUGUCAUGAUAUUGCCCAUGUCACUGAUGACUACUGAGUUAAAAGUUAGGCUGUCUUAAGAUGACAGUUCAUUUUAAAUUCUGCUAAACUAAAAGCAUAUCUUGUGAGAAAUAAAUUAAAUCAUAUAUACCUGCC
Protopterus annectens (West African lungfish) is the source of this 659-nucleotide long non-coding RNA. RefSeq lists it as uncharacterized. The record is from RefSeq and is a predicted model, not a curated record. NCBI's taxonomy places the organism in Eukaryota, Metazoa, Chordata, Ceratodontiformes, Protopteridae. The transcript has 3 exons.